This 496-nucleotide ribosomal RNA is filed under the name uncultured bacterium. Its description in RNAcentral is "partial 16S ribosomal RNA". It matches the Rfam family "Bacterial small subunit ribosomal RNA", at positions 29 to 507 of the family's 1533-position model. The record is from RNAcentral.
AUGAACGCUGGCGGCGUGCCUAGUACAUGCAAGUCGAGCGCACGGACGAGAAGCUUGCUUCUCUGAUGUUAGCGGCGGACGGGUGAGUAACACGUGGAUAACCUACCUAUAAGACUGGGAUAACUUCGGGAAACCGGAGCUAAUACCGGAUAAUAUUUUGAACCGCAUGGUUCAAAAGUGAAAGACGGUCUUGCUGUCACUUAUAGAUGGAUCCGCGCUGCAUUAGCUAGUUGGUAAGGUAACGGCUUACCAAGGCAACGAUGCAUAGCCGACCUGAGAGGGUGAUCGGCCACACUGGAACUGAGACACGGUCCAGACUCCUACGGGAGGCAGCAGUAGGGAAUCUUCCGCAAUGGGCGAAAGCCUGACGGAGCAACGCCGCGUGAGUGAUGAAGGUCUUCGGAUCGUAAAACUCUGUUAUUAGGGAAGAACAUAUGUGUAAGUAACUGUGCACAUCUUGACGGUACCUAAUCAGAAAGCCACGGCUAACUACGUG